CCUACGGGUGGCAGCAGUGGGGAAUAUUGCGCAAUGGGCGAAAGCCUGACGCAGCGACGCCGCGUGUGGGAUGACGGCCUUCGGGUUGUAAACCACUGUCGGGAGGGACGCGGUACCUCCAAAGGAAGCACCGGCUAACUCCGUGCCAGCAGCCGCGGUAAUACGGAGGGUGCGAGCGUUGUCCGGAAUCACUGGGCGUAAAGGGCGCGUAGGCGGCCCGAUAAGUAGGAGGUGAAAUCCUGCGGCUUAACCGCAGGGCUGCCUUCUAAACUGUCGGGCUGGAGCACGGUAGAGGCAGAUGGAAUUCCCGGUGUAGCGGUGGAAUGCGUAGAGAUCGGGAAGAACAUCAGUGGCGAAGGCGGUCUGCUGGGCCGUGCUGACGCUGAGGCGCGACAGCGUGGGGAGCAAACAGGAUUAGAUACCCUUGUAGUC
This 432-nucleotide ribosomal RNA is filed under the name uncultured bacterium. RNAcentral describes it as "partial 16S ribosomal RNA". It matches the Rfam family "Bacterial small subunit ribosomal RNA", at positions 338 to 795 of the family's 1533-position model. The record is from RNAcentral.